AUUGAACGCUGGCGGCGUGCCUAAUACAUGCAAGUCGAACGCACAGCGAAAGGUGCUUGCACCUUUCAAGUGAGUGGCGAACGGGUGAGUAACACGUGGACAACCUGCCUCAAGGCUGGGGAUAACAUUUGGAAACAGAUGCUAAUACCGAAUGAAACUUAGUGUCGCAUGAUACGAAGUUAAAAGGCGCUUUGGCGUCACCUAGAGAUGGAUCCGCGGUGCAUUAGUUAGUUGGUGGGGUAAAGGCCUACCAAGACAAUGAUGCAUAGCCGAGUUGAGAGACUGAUCGGCCACAUUGGGACUGAGACACGGCCCAAACUCCUACGGGAGGCUGCAGUAGGGAAUCUUCCACAAUGGGCGAAAGCCUGAUGGAGCAACGCCGCGUGUGUGAUGAAGGCUUUCGGGUCGUAAAGCACUGUUGUAUGGGAAGAACAGCUAGAAUAGGGAAUGAUUUUAGUUUGACGGUACCAUACCAGAAAGGGACGGCUAAAUACGUGCCAGCAGCCGCCGUAA
Molecule: ribosomal RNA, 513 nt
Filed under: uncultured bacterium
Lineage: Bacteria
Description: partial 16S ribosomal RNA
Rfam family: Bacterial small subunit ribosomal RNA
Source: RNAcentral